UCCCUGAUGGUCCAAAGGUUAGGAGUUGGCACUUUCACUGCUGGGGCCCAGGUUUGAAUCCUGGUUGGGGAA
This 72-nucleotide transfer RNA is filed under the name Capra hircus (goat). It matches the Rfam family "tRNA". From Rfam's summary of the family: Transfer RNA (tRNA) molecules are approximately 80 nucleotides in length. Their secondary structure includes four short double-helical elements and three loops (D, anti-codon, and T loops). The record is from Rfam by way of RNAcentral. Lineage: Eukaryota; Metazoa; Chordata; Mammalia; Artiodactyla; Bovidae. RNAcentral also lists the same sequence under 1 other name.